CGUAAACAAAGGGAAGCGAGCCUGUGAAGGGGAGCAAAUCCCAAAAAUAACGUCCCAGUUCGGAUUGUAGUCUGCAACCCGACUACAUGAAGCUGGAAUCGCUAGUAAUCGCGGAUCAGAAUGCCGCGGUGAAUACGUUCCCGGGUCUUGUACACACCGCCCGUCACACCAUGGGAGUCGGAAAUGCCCGAAGUCUGUGACCUAACCGUAAGGAAGGAGCAGCCGAAGGCAGGUCGGAUGACUGGGGUGAAGUCGUAACAAGGUAUC
RNAcentral lists this ribosomal RNA (267 nucleotides) under uncultured bacterium. RNAcentral describes it as "partial 16S ribosomal RNA". It matches the Rfam family "Bacterial small subunit ribosomal RNA", at positions 1234 to 1500 of the family's 1533-position model. The record is from RNAcentral.